AUUGUUUUGGCAGAUAAGUGCAACGAAUUUAGAAUUCGUGAAUAUAGAUAUUUCUAUAGAUAAUA
This 65-nucleotide transfer RNA is filed under the name Eupolyphaga hanae. Its description in RNAcentral is "tRNA-Leu". Lineage: Eukaryota; Metazoa; Arthropoda; Insecta; Blattodea; Corydiidae. The record is from RNAcentral.